GGCUGCUAAAAUACCACUUUGAACAGGCCACGGGAGUAUCAAUUGACGAGCUGCGCAAAUAAUAUGACCUGAAAAGAGCGAAGAUCGUUAACUAUUCAGAAACAGCUGGCCGAAAGUUUAAGAAACCUAACAACGACUGCACCGAUCUGGAAGUCCUGCGGUUCUUAGCUUGCUUGGUGGGCGAGAAAAUAGAUGAUUUGGUUACAUACAGAGAGAUCGGAACCCGCAUCGAUGAAGUUCAUUUGGAUUCGCCCGGACCGUUACUGGUUUCUGUUGAUAUGGGACAAGACACAGCGAUGUAUUAUGUCUACGUCGACCAGGUCCGCCUAUCCGAAGGCACGGAUGAUGUCAUUUGCGCCCUGCAGGAUCUACUGUGCAUACAUUUUGUGCAUAAUUUUAAAUAUUUCAAGCCAGCAUCAAAAUUCCUGGAGUUGAUGCAGCAAUACCUCUUACAGAUAAUUCCAUCAUCCGGAUCCAAAUCAAACGCAUAUCGCGUGGGAAAUCAACAGCGAGUUGUUCAAAAAGUUAUUGACCAUUUGUCGA
Long non-coding RNA from Aedes albopictus (Asian tiger mosquito), 543 nucleotides. RefSeq lists it as uncharacterized. Lineage: Eukaryota; Metazoa; Arthropoda; Insecta; Diptera; Culicidae. The record is from RefSeq and is a predicted model, not a curated record. The transcript is spliced from 3 exons.